This 249-nucleotide ribosomal RNA is filed under the name uncultured bacterium. Its description in RNAcentral is "partial 16S ribosomal RNA". It matches the Rfam family "Bacterial small subunit ribosomal RNA", at positions 85 to 334 of the family's 1533-position model. The record is from RNAcentral.
AAGAUGGCGACCGGCGCACGGGUGAGUAACACGUAUCCAACCUGCCGAUAACUCCGGAAUAGCCUUUCGAAAGAAAGAUUAAUACCGGAUAGUAUACGAAUAUCGCAUGAUAUUUUUAUUUAAAGAAUUUCGAUUAUCGAUGGGGAUGCGUUCCAUUAGUUUGUUGGCGGGGUAACGGCCCACCAAGACUACGAUGGAUAGGGGUUCUGAGAGGAAGGUCCCCCACAUUGGAACUGAGACACGGUCCAA